CUCCUCAGCCGUUUUCGAUGAUGGAAUUUUUGAAUCAACAAUCGACUUCGUUAGAUCUGAUCUAGUGUAUUUAAAAUUUUUAUAAAAUAAUUUUUGCGAUUUUUCGAUACUAUUUAUCUAUUGAUCGAAAGGGUUCAAAAUCAAUAAUUUUUAAUAGGUGCAAUGUCUACCGUUUUCAAGUUUAACGGUGUAGAAUUAUUUAAAUCAGGUGAAAUUUUGAUACAAAAUUCUUUAUACUAUCUACAGCAGGAUCAAUAUCUCUGAUCGAAAAUUUUAGUUAUAUAUUACCAUUUUUUAUAGAAUUUUUUUUUC
Molecule: long non-coding RNA, 312 nt
Filed under: Ananas comosus (pineapple)
Lineage: Eukaryota; Viridiplantae; Streptophyta; Magnoliopsida; Poales; Bromeliaceae
Description: long non-coding RNA (ACOM_LNC040627)
Source: RNAcentral